GACAGAGGGGGCGAGCGUUGACCGGAGUCACUGGGCGUAAAGCGCGCGCAGGCGGUCGGCAAAGGGAGGUGUGAAAGCCCCCGGCUCAACCGGGGGAGGGCAUGUGAAACUCGGGGACUGGAGCGGCGCAGAGGCGGCUCGAAUUGCCGGUGUAGCGGUGAAAUGCGUAGAGAUCGGCAGGAAGACUAAUGGGGAAGCCAGUGGCCUGGCAGGUUGCUGACGCUGAGGCGCGCCAGCGUGGGGAGCGAACCGG
Molecule: ribosomal RNA, 253 nt
Filed under: uncultured bacterium
Lineage: Bacteria
Description: partial 16S ribosomal RNA
Rfam family: Bacterial small subunit ribosomal RNA
Source: RNAcentral